This 564-nucleotide ribosomal RNA is filed under the name Glomeromycotina sp. RNAcentral's name for it is "SSU rRNA". It matches the Rfam family "Eukaryotic small subunit ribosomal RNA", at positions 548 to 1113 of the family's 1831-position model. Lineage: Eukaryota; Fungi; Glomeromycota. The record is from RNAcentral.
UUGGAGGGCAAGUCUGGUGCCAGCAGCCGCGGUAAUUCCAGCUCCAAUAGCGUAUAUUAAAGUUGUUGCAGUUAAAAAGCUCGUAGUUGAAUUUCGGGGUCAAUAAGUUGGUCGUGCCAAUGGUAUGCACUGGCUUUAUUGAUUCCUACCUCUUGACGAACUGUGAUGCCAUUAAUUUGGUGUCGCAAGGAAUCAGGACUGUUACCUUGAAAAAAUUAGAGUGUUUAAAGCAGGCUUACGCUUGAAUACAUUAGCAUGGAAUAAUGAAAUAGGACGUUUGAACCUAUUUUGUUGGUUUCUAGGAUCGACGUAAUGAUUAAUAGGGAUAGUUGGGGGCAUUAGUAUUCAAUUGUCAGAGGUGAAAUUCUUGGAUUUAUUGAAGACUAACUACUGCGAAAGCAUUUGCCAAGGAUGUUUUCAUUAAUCAAGAACGAAAGUUAGGGGAUCGAAGACGAUCAGAUACCGUCGUAGUCUUAACCAUAAACUAUGCCGACUAGGGAUCGGAUGAUGUUAAUUUUUUAAUGACUCAUUCGGCGCCUUACGGGAAACCAAAGUGUUUGGGUU